This 467-nucleotide ribosomal RNA is filed under the name uncultured bacterium. RNAcentral describes it as "partial 16S ribosomal RNA". It matches the Rfam family "Bacterial small subunit ribosomal RNA", at positions 28 to 506 of the family's 1533-position model. The record is from RNAcentral.
GACGAACGCUGGCGGCGUGCUUAACACAUGCAAGUCGAACGGAAAGGCCCUGCUUUUGUGGGGUGCUCGAGUGGCGAACGGGUGAGUAACACGUGAGUAACCUGCCCUUGACUUUGGGAUAACUUCAGGAAACUGGGGCUAAUACCGGAUAGGAGCUCCUGCUGCAUGGUGGGGGUUGGAAAGUUUCGGCGGUUGGGGUUGGACUCGCGGCUUAUAAGCUUGUUGGUGGGGUUGUGGCUUACCAAGGCUUUGACGGGUAGCCGUCGUGAGAGGGGGACCGGGUUCUUUGGGACAGGGGUACGGCCCGCCCUCCCAGGGAGGCGACACUGGGGGGACAUGUUUGAACGGGCGGAAGCCGGGGCCCGCAACCCCGCGUCGGGGAAAGGGCCCUUCGGGUGGAAAUCGCCUUUCGCCUGGCAGGAAGGGGCAGGGCCGGUAAUGGUGAAAAAGGCACCGGCCAACACCGC